Molecule: long non-coding RNA, 677 nt
Organism: Sapajus apella (tufted capuchin)
Lineage: Eukaryota; Metazoa; Chordata; Mammalia; Primates; Cebidae
Exons: 2
Source: RefSeq, a predicted model, not a curated record
AACCAGGAGUCAAAACAGUGUUGUUUUUCUAGUUCAAAGGGGCAGAGACCUGAGUCCAUCGCUCCUGUCUUCUCUGAACACACAAGGCACUCAGUAAACACUGAAUGAAUGAAUGAAACACAACGUCCUCAAGGAGAAGAUCCUGGCCAUGCUGGAGAGAAAGAAAACACAGCUCAUCUACAGCAUGGGAGAAGAUGUGCAUGAGGUGAACAGUAUUCUGUGUCCCUCUGAGAUGGGGCUGAUACCCUCUGCUUUCCCAAGGACCCUGGGAGGACCAAGUGAGUAGAAAAAACUUUAGGUCUUGACCCUGGUGGUGGUCUCUGGACACUGAAGCAUUUUAUUUUCUUGAAGUGGGACAAGUGGCCACUCCGUUCUGGUUACUACUGCCCUUUAAUACCACUGCCCUCCUGCCACCCCACAGGGGGCACCAGCCCUCCCUCCCCUCUGACAGGUGUGACAAGUUCACCUGUACACCUGCAUCCCCCAAACACGGGGCGGGGCUUCCUGUAGAGCCUGCAGGGCGGCCCCUGCCUGACUUCACAUUUUCCUUGUCCUCUGUCCUCACUCAAACUGGCCCUGGAUACGUGUUCCCGAUGAAGUCCCCGGCCUGGGAGCAUGUUCCAUGAGCUGCUGGCUAGAACGACUGUAACCCAUCCCUGGCUAACCCCAGCCACGGA